UUUAAGCCUCUGAGCUCAGGGAUGCAGAGGCAUUGAGUUACUACCAAGGGCCUGAUCUUUAGCAGGCAUCUGUGUUAAUUGUUUCAAAAGGUGGUGAUCAGCUUUACAGCCUAUUAUAAAGGAGAUUUUUGCCUACUAUAAAACUAAUCCCCCUGAAAGAGUGAGUAAACAUAAUUUUUUGUGUGUUGACUUCCACAAGGGAAGGAGUUGGCACUUACACUCUGACUUUUGAUUCAGUCGUCCCUCUUGAGCCAUUUUUGCAGGGGAUCAGUUUGGAGUGGGCGUUAACAAUAUUAUUUUUUUUUUCCUCUCCAGAACACCUUCCACCAUGACCACCUCAGCAAGUUCCCACUUAAAUAAAGGCAUCAAGCAGGUGUACAUGUCCCUGCCUCAGGGUGAGAAAGUCCAGGCCAUGUAUAUCUGGAUUGAUGGUACUGGAGAAGGACUGCGCUGCAAGACCCGGACCCUGGACAGUGAGCCCAAGUGUGUGGAAGAGUUGCCUGAGUGGAAUUUCGAUGGCUCUAGUACUUUGCAGUCUGAGGGUUCCAACAGUGACAUGUAUCUCGUGCCUGCUGCCAUGUUUCGGGACCCCUUCCGUAAGGACCCUAACAAGCUGGUGUUAUGUGAAGUUUUCAAGUACAAUCGAAGACCUGCAGAGACCAAUUUGAGGCACACCUGUAAACGAAUAAUGGACAUGGUGAGCAACCAGCACCCCUGGUUUGGCAUGGAGCAGGAAUACACCCUCAUGGGGACAGAUGGGCACCCCUUUGGUUGGCCUUCCAAUGGCUUCCCAGGGCCCCAGGGUAAGUCUCCUUGGGUUAGAGGUGAAAUUCCCAGAAGUGUCUAACUUCAGGAGUGCCCC
RNAcentral lists this small RNA (862 nucleotides) under Pongo abelii (Sumatran orangutan). Its description in RNAcentral is "processed transcript". Lineage: Eukaryota; Metazoa; Chordata; Mammalia; Primates; Hominidae. The record is from RNAcentral.